AAUCAAUGUAAAAUAUACACAAACCCUCAUAAAGUUUAAUUUAACCUCACUUUGCUCUAUAUAGACUUUAUUAACAGGAUUAAAAUGUAUGUGACACCAGUUACGAUAUUAUGUUUCUUGGUAUAUUUCAGGAUUACUGAUUGUAACGAUAUUUCUAUGUCUAUCAAACCGCAAUUAUCCUUGGAAAACAAUUCGGUGUCGUUUAAGUGUAGCGCAGGAUAUGAUGCACUCACGCUUGCUUUCAGUCAAUCAUUUAAAACGGUAGUCUAUUCAGUGUUUAAUGAUAGCAGUUGUGUCAUACGCAUUGGUACCAGACCAGAAUUUGUUGAUCAGUGCACUUGUGAUUAUCAAACAAAAAGCCUGGAAUGCUUCAUUGCAACGAUAUCAAGAAGGGAAAAUGGAUUGUGGCAGUGUGAAGACUUUUUCGGACCCACGUUAAGUACCUUUGUGGCAUUGAGAGUGACAGUACCAAUACAAAAAGCUACCAUACAAUCGGAUGUACAGAAUGUGACUAUAAACGAUACCAAACAGUUAUCCCUGAUAUGUGAAGCUCCCAAUGGAAUUCCGGUGGCAAAUAUCAGUUGGUUCUUGGACAAACAAACGCCCAAUCAGUCAACUGAUGAUACAGAUAUUACAGAGUUUUCUUCGGUCACGAUUUGGUCUAAAAAUGAUGGAACAAAAACUGCUGAAAGCACGCUUUCUUUUAACGUAAGUGCAGAACAUAAUGGAAUGACACUCUUCUGUACGGCGAAUAACACUGCAGAGGUGAAUGUGUUCAGCAGACGGAUUCAUCUUAAUAUUAUAUACAACCCAGAUAAACAUGUUCUCGUUAGCAAUCAAACACAUGACGUUGACUUUUACUUGAUACGAAAUUCCAACACAAAACAGUCGUUGCAAUGCCAAGUAGACGGUGGAAAUCCUAUGGCAACUCUAAAAUGGUCUUGCUACGAUGGUAUUCAAAGCAACGGGAAUUCACAGUCCAGUGCUAUAAGUACCGUCACUUGGAUCGCUGCUGAUUUAACUGACUCAACAUGCAUCUGCUAUACAUCACAUAUACUGGGAUGGAAUGAUUGGCGAGUUGUGUAUAUACACGUGUAUUAUGAACCAAAUCCUCCAACGUGUACGAUUGGCAGUGCAAAUGUGAGCAAAGGCGUUUUAAACAUAACCUUAAACUCAAACGUUCGCAUUACUUGUAAAAGUGAUGGGAACCCGUCUCCUGAAAACUUUGUUUGGAUAUUGCCUACAGGCUACACAUUUGAAAGAAAAACACUUUCAUUAAGUCAAAUCCAAUUAUCACAUGAUGGUUUGUACAUUUUAAGUGUUGAGAAUAUCAUGAAGCCUAGCAUUGGAGAGAUUGUCAACGGACGUUCAAAUACAACGUUUGAUAUGAAUAUACAAUAUGGUCCUAGGAGUCUACAGUUUUAUUUUCGUCAAAGUGGAAAGAACAUCACAUCAAGAGUCAUUUAUGUAAUAAAAGGCGAUGAAACCAGUAUUGUCGCCUUUGCUGAUGCACGACCGCAUCCGACGUACAUUUGGUCCAACUUUCAAGUUGGAGAAGAAAUCUCACACGAGUUCCAUUAUGACACGAAUAUUUCUUGCAAUGUUUCAAAUGUUUUAUAUCCAACGGGUUUUAAUACAAUUCAAAAGAGUGUUACAAAAACCUUUCAAGUUCAAGUCCUGUAUCCUCCAGAAGUUCCGAUUCUUAGGUUUAAUACUUGCAACAGUAUGGUAGAAAUUGAAGAUUCGAUUGUUAACGUUGUUUCAAAUCAACUCUUAAUUGUGACAUGUUUUGCAAAAGCAAAGCCGGAACCAUCCUAUAGAUGGAACAACUCACUGGCGAAUGAAUUGUUUAUUGCACAUGUGACAAAAAAUAACUCGGCAACAUACAUUUGCUAUGCAAGUAACACGAUGAUCACGUCGUAUGGAAAAUCUGUUAAAGGUCAAAAUGAGACAUUAUUUAUCCUCGAUGUAAUAUAUCCACCACAAAUAUCAAAUGCUGAAACUAAGUUAGUGGCUAUUGAAGGUUCAAACUUCAGUAUUUAUUGCAAUGUGUCGCUAGGAAAUCCAAGGGAAACCUUUGUAACAUGGAUAAGUGAUUCCGAUGCGGAAGUCGAAAAAGCUGGACAGCUAAUCAACUUUCUGAAUAUUUCUCGAACUGACGAAGGAAAUUUUACAUGUAUUGCAAGAAACAGAAUGAAACCAACUGGCUGCGCAGAAGAAGAUGGAGUCGACAAACAACAAUUUUAUGUCGAUGUUCAGUAUAAAGCAAGAAUACAGAGAUUUGCUGCCUUAUCUGCUACGGUAAAUCAUACGGAGGAAUUAAGUUUUGUGUGUGAUAUAGAUAGUGACCCACCUGCUAGUGUUAGUAUAAUGUCUACAAAUGGAACGACAUUGCAUUUUACACGUGGAAAUAAUCAGCUGCGAUAUAGAAAGAAUAGUUCGUGCUUGGAUGACAACGGCAAUUUCACGUGUACUUCUGAAAAUAAACAUAACGGCGGGUCGCCCGAAAGCAGAAAUGUUACAGUUGAUGUCAGAUGUUCGCCGAUAUACCCCCGUAAUUACUCUCCAGAGACGGUUGUCAAAUCACAAAUUGGAGACCAGACGAUACUAAAUUUCAGUAUAUUUUCAAAUCCCUUACCCACAAGUGUUAUAUGGACAAAUCUUUCAAACAACAUGCAACUUCACGCGAACACAAGUGAAUCUGAUAGAGUAUUUAUAGAUACAAGUGAUGACAUGCGGUCAUCCGUGGUUGUCAUAAAGAGUAUAGAGCCCUGGGAUUCUGGAAAUUACUCUGUGCGUGUAAAAAACGAAUUUGGAAACCUGACCGAAACAUUUCACAUUGUUUUAGACGAAACAUCACCAACAUCUAUCAACUCUGCAAACGUUGGAGGAUCUGGAGGCUGGUGGUUUUGUCAGCACUGCUUUGGUUUUUAUAGCUCUCCUAAUUGUGACAGUCAUAUACGUCUACAAGAAACGGCAGAGUUCUAAACACAACAAUGAUCUUCACGCCAAGAACGACAAUUCUCAGCAUGAUGAAAACGGUUUCAGGUACGAGGAAUUAGCUAUAAUAGGACGACGGACUGGCGAAAAGGAGUAUUCUGAACUUGAUUUCCAAGAGAGAAAAGACAAAACCAAUCAGAACAAACCGUCAGCUGGAAACGAAACGUAUGAGAACCUUAAACUGGGCACACGAUGAAGUAAAACAUCAUUGCAAUGACAUAGACAUCUGCUGUUUCUAUGACGAGUUUUAGCAAAUAUUUUGUUUGUUUGUUUAUAUUGAUUUUGUGUUCUUAAAACUAAGUUCCACUAGCUUUACUGUGUAUUGUUCAAUGUAUCAAUUUCACUUUAAUUGUGUGAUCACUAAAACACCUAAUUUAAACCUCAUUAUAUAACGUGUGCUUCGUCUUCGCUUUUUACUGUUAAAACACCAAUCAAACAAGCUACCUUUUGCAGUUUCCUUGCCAGAAUGCUUUCCCUGAUCACGGCACAAACAUGUUUUUCUCCGUCGUUGACAAACAUAAAUAUAAAAAACGUAAGUGAUGAUCCCUGCAGCGGUUCAUGAAUUUUUAUGUCGAUUCACAGACAAUAAACCAUUGUCAUCUAUUUGAUGAAUCUGUUUAAUCACACAAGAGAAGGAAAAGCUCUCAUACUCAUUUACAAAUGCAUACACUAUCCGUGGCGAUUAGUGCAUAUAUUUCAGAAAUUGCCAAAUACACGUUCAAUUGACCUCAUCUAUGAUGCCUGGAUGCAAACGAGUUGGCUUAUUUGCUGACACAUACCAUAACAGAACAAUGUCAUAUAAACAUUACCUGCUUUGCUGUAAUGUAACAUUCUGAUAAUUUCCAUAGAUAUAAUCUACUGUUGGUCAAUAUCAUCCAUUAUAUUAUGCCAUAAGAUGGUAUACAAACACAUACUCUGGUCAUCUACAUCAACUAACGAAUAACUCUGCUGAGGUCCAAGUUUUCAGCAGACAGAUCCAUCUUAAUAUCAGUUGUUACAAUAAUUUUAACAAAUAUAUUGUAAUAAAAAAUUGUUCCGUAGAAUACAUGCUACUCGUAUAUUUAGAUCUUAUUAACAAAUAGGGUGAUUUUAAACUGUUUUAAAUAACUUCCAAUUUGUGCUAUGUAAUAUUUAUAAGCAAUUCAAAAACAUUUACUUAUUAUGUCAUCGGGAUGUGUUUUGUUUUCUUCGAGGCUGUGCAAAUGCUUUUCCGUGCAACAAAACUUAGUUCCAUAUCAAUCUCUAUAUUGAAACUGGACUUUAACCUCUAAACUUGUCUGACACAUAAUAUUAUAAUAUGCUACACGAUGUUUUAUU
Mya arenaria is the source of this 4317-nucleotide RNA transcript. It is a transcript of the gene named hemicentin-1-like, with no coding region annotated. The transcript is spliced from 14 exons. The record is from RefSeq and is a predicted model, not a curated record. Lineage: Eukaryota; Metazoa; Mollusca; Bivalvia; Myida; Myidae.